This 253-nucleotide ribosomal RNA is filed under the name uncultured bacterium. RNAcentral's name for it is "partial 16S ribosomal RNA". It matches the Rfam family "Bacterial small subunit ribosomal RNA", at positions 524 to 776 of the family's 1533-position model. The record is from RNAcentral.
UACAGAGGUGGCAAGCGUUGUUCGGAAUUACUGGGCGUAAAGGGCGCGUAGGCGGCCUCCUAAGUCAGACGUGAAAUCCCCCGGCUUAACCUGGGAACUGCGUCUGAUACUGGAAGGCUUGAGGAUGGGAGAGGGAUGUAGAAUUCCAGGUGUAGCGGUGAAAUGCGUAGAUAUCUGGAGGAAUACCGGUGGCGAAGGCGGCAUCCUGGACCAUUACUGACGCUGAGGCGCGAAAGCUAGGGGAGCAAACGGG